This 224-nucleotide ribosomal RNA is filed under the name uncultured bacterium. RNAcentral's name for it is "partial 16S ribosomal RNA". It matches the Rfam family "Bacterial small subunit ribosomal RNA", at positions 337 to 573 of the family's 1533-position model. The record is from RNAcentral.
UCCUACGGGAGGCAGAAGUGGGGAAUAUUGCACAAUGGGCGAAAGCCUGAUGCAGCGACGCCGCGUGAGGGAUGACGGCCUUCGGGUUGUAAACCUCCUUCAGCAGGGAAGAAGCGAAAGUGACGGUACCUGCAGAAGAAGCGCCGGCUAACUACGUGCCAGCAGCCGCGGUAAUACGUAGGGCGCAAGCGUUGUCCGGAAUUAUUGGGCGUAAAGAGCUCGUA